This 180-nucleotide ribosomal RNA is filed under the name uncultured bacterium. RNAcentral's name for it is "partial 16S ribosomal RNA". It matches the Rfam family "Bacterial small subunit ribosomal RNA", at positions 348 to 520 of the family's 1533-position model. The record is from RNAcentral.
GCAGCAGUGGGGAAUUUUGGACAAUGGGCGCAAGCCUGAUCCAGCAAUGCCGCGUGAGUGAAGAAGGCCUUCGGGUUGUAAAGCUCUUUUGUCAGGGAAGAAACGGUCUUGGUUAAUACCUGGGGCUAAUGACGGUACCUGAAGAAUAAGCACCGGCUAACUACGUGCCAGCAGCCGCGG